Long non-coding RNA from Frieseomelitta varia, 1083 nucleotides. RefSeq lists it as uncharacterized. The transcript has 3 exons. The record is from RefSeq and is a predicted model, not a curated record. Lineage: Eukaryota; Metazoa; Arthropoda; Insecta; Hymenoptera; Apidae.
GUACUGGCGUGUCGUUAACGCGAAAUGGAUAUUCCGCGUCGCAUGGGAAAGAUGCCGACGUGAAUGCUGGCCCUACCGAAAAAGCAGUCGAGAAAUGUAGAGUGAAAGCGGAUGGAAACUUACUUGCAGGGAGUCAUGACUUAUUACGCAUAUAAUACCCUGGAUCGUCUGUUGGCUUAUGCCCAUAAAUAUACAGAUGCAUUGAGAAACACUGAGUAUAUCGUCUGAAUGCAGAUAAAUCGCAUAUAUCAAAGCGAGGAGCACCGAGCAAGCGCUAAUGAUGCUACUGAUCUGUAAAGUUUUAUAAACAAGUACUCGCGUUUUGCUGCUGUUACUGGGCAGCGGCCAACAGAAGGAUAAAACCACGCUAAACCAAAUGAUAUCGAUGGCUUUCUCUGGCGUUGGUUGCUUCAACAUAAUCUCAAAAGACUGUCUGGCUGUUAAACGAACGAAACGAGGGGUUUAGUUGGUGCAGUAUCGAUACAUGCACAGUUAAUUGUUACAUUGCUGCGAAAGUAAGUGAAGCUUGAAUCCGUACAAAAUUAUUCUUUAUGAGCAAAGAAUUUAAUAAAUCAUACUGGCAGUAACGUCUGAGAACGAUCUAUUGAUUGGCGAUUUGCUGCGAAGUAGUACUUACGGCGGUUGUUUCGACGAUGAUUAUUGAUUGCAUUAUACAUCGGCGCAGCUUGUGGCAUGAAGCAGGAACGCGGCAAUAUUAAAGAGAAAGAACACAUGAUGGAUUGCAGGUAUAGAAUCUACAGUGAUAUGCGUCUCUUGUAAUGAACUAGUGGUAAAAGAGUAGUCUUGUUUAUGUGGCCGAGACGGAUGUUUCGAGUAUAGUCAAGCGCUCUACUCACUUUUUCACUUGGAUGGAUUGCUGUAGGACUGAUCAAAGGACUAAAUCAAGAUCCAAAGUGAGUAAGCAGUAAUGAUAAAGUUAGCAUUUGAGUUUUUGUAAAAAAUCGGUCAUCAUCAUUGCAUAGUGAUACGUUUGAAUAAAGUUUAGCAUGGAUUUGCAUAUUGAAAAUUUUUGAGGGAUUAUAAAAUGUUCGGCCAUACAAUUGCGAAGGUAAGUACCGCUCU